CGGGGCGUAGCUCAGCCUGGCCAGAGCGCGUGGUUUGGGACCAUGAGGUCGCAGGUUCGAAUCCUGUCGCCCCGA
RNAcentral lists this transfer RNA (75 nucleotides) under Planctomycetia bacterium. RNAcentral describes it as "tRNA-Pro". It matches the Rfam family "tRNA". Rfam says of the family: Transfer RNA (tRNA) molecules are approximately 80 nucleotides in length. Their secondary structure includes four short double-helical elements and three loops (D, anti-codon, and T loops). Lineage: Bacteria; Pseudomonadati; Planctomycetota; Planctomycetia. The record is from RNAcentral.